CGCAUCACUGCCAUCUCAUGUUUAGUAAGUGCUUAUCUUUCAGCCUUUGUGUUAUCUAAGUGCAUCAUGUUAAAACAGUCUAUUGAGAUGAUUCAUGUCAUGCCCAGGAACAUGUGCACACUCACAUAUGUUCUUCUCUAUGCUGUUCCCUAGACAGCAUAAGCUGAAGCUUCACAGCAGACAAAGCUCUGUUCAACAUUGUCAUGAAAUGGAGAAAGAAAUCCUGCUGGGAUAUCGUGCAGAGUGUGUGAAAUUAAGGCAAGAGAACUUUGUGGAAGAAACCAGAGGGAGGAGAAGAU
Zonotrichia albicollis (white-throated sparrow) is the source of this 299-nucleotide non-coding RNA. The record is from RefSeq and is a predicted model, not a curated record. NCBI's taxonomy places the organism in Eukaryota, Metazoa, Chordata, Aves, Passeriformes, Passerellidae.